Molecule: small RNA, 1181 nt
Filed under: Pongo abelii (Sumatran orangutan)
Lineage: Eukaryota; Metazoa; Chordata; Mammalia; Primates; Hominidae
Description: processed transcript
Source: RNAcentral
GCAGUACUAGGCCACUCCUGCAACCCCCUGGCCUCAAGGCCCCUUGGCUUUCAGGGGUCGCGUCUGCACCCUCAGGGUUGCUGUGAAGAUCAGGGCUUGCCCAUAAGCCUGGUGCCCAAUGGGGCUGCGGCUCUGUUUGUUCCACCACCUGCUACCCUCCCUUUUGGUGUAGUGGCAGGGAGACCACCACACGUGCAUUUACCGCAGCCCCUUCUCGGCAGCCGGGAUCGUGGCUGGUCCUCUGUGAGGGCGAGGGGUGCGCCCAGGACUUAGCUCUGCGGGAGCUGGUGGAUGCUCACUCAGGCCUGUUUCUCAGCCAGGGGAAAACAAUUGGUUCAGAGGCUGGAUCCCUGGGGACGCCAGGAGCAGGUGCGGGCAGCUCUGAGCUUCCCACCACUCCCUGGCUGAGCCUCUCUAAACUGGGCCUAUAGACCCAUGGGGGCUGGGAGCCUUCCCGCAGGAGGCAGAGGCUGAAUAGAUGAGGAGAUGGAGUUCUACAUGCGGACCUUCAGACAUAUGCGCCCAGAGCCCCCCGGCCAGGCCAGGCCAGCAGCAGUGAAUGCCAAUCCCUCCCAGUUUCUUGCCACCCGUGGCCAAGCGGAACCUCCACCACCCUCUUCCCCAGACACUCUCGCCCUGCCUCCCCGGAUCCGACCCCAGAAAAAGAGGAAGAGGCGCGUGUAUAAAGUGCGAACCUCUGAGACCUCGGAUCCGGCGUCGGGGCCCAGGGCCCCCGGCCGCCGCUCCAGCUCGUCGACGGAUUCCGCGGACGCCAGCCCUGUGCACGCCGCUGGCCCUGCCGGCGCCUACCACUCGGCGUCGGCAGAGUCCGUGGACGAGAUUCCAGUGGCGCAGACGCGCCUGGGCAGCGCUGCUCUGGCCGCCCCGCGGGGCCGGGGCCUACAGCCCACCCUGGCGCGGCAGGCGCGUGCGCUCGCCAUUUUCGUGAGCCGGAGCAGCGGCGAGCCCAGGGCGCCGGGCGGCCGGGAGGCUUAGCUGGGCCGAGAGGCCGGAGGGCCGAGUUGGAGCGGCCGGCCCGACUCUCUAUGCAACACCCCAUCCUUGCCGCACCGAGUGCACUUUAGGGGCCCCUACGGCCGGGGGGAUCGUCCUCCCUUCCCCACGACUCAGCAAUACCCGCCCCACCGUCUGUGAUGCUCCAAUAAACUUUUUUAUGCUUU